UUGCGCAGAGGAAUAGCCUCUGGGUACCUGGUAGUGGUGCACAUGAUCGUAAGAAUCUGGUUACCAGAUUUUGACUUUGGUAAAGGCCCCACACAGUCAACUAUAAUGUGUUCGAAAGGUUCGCCCAACAUGGGGAUUGGUUUUUCACGAGUUACUGUUAACCACCAAAAAUAGAAAGUAAGAUCAUUUUGUUAUUUCUAAUACAGGGAACAAAUGACAUUGUGCUGUUAAAAUGACUGCUUUUGUAUUAUGUUUGUGCAUUUUUGUAGGAUGUGAAAUGUCCUCAGACUGGUGUGAGCAGUGAGAAUGGAGAGCCACAGCAGAUCCUGGAAAUGGUUCAGUGUAAUGGAUGAGACCCUCCAUUACUCCUCCUGCCCUUACUGCCUCAUCUGGACUGAUGGUGCUGUGGUCUCUUCAUCCUCAGUGAGUCCAGAGCCAGCAAGAGUAUCUAGACAAAGACCAAAGGACAUUGAGGAUGUGAUUUUGGUCCACUUGGUUCUGAUGGUUUCUGUUCAUACAAUGGAGCUUCAAAAGCAUCAUCAAAUAAUGUCAUGAAUCUUCUGGAAGUCAGGCUCCAUUUACUGAUAUUGUAUGAACAGAAACUAGCUGGACAAACUUGACCAAAGUCACCUUUUCAGGGAUUGAACAGCGUGAAGGGAUGAUCCCCAUGGAGUAACUUGGAGUAAAGUGUCUUGAUCAAGGACACACUGGUGGAGACGCUGCAGAGAUCGAACCAGAAACCUUCUGCUUACCAGCUCAGUGGAUUAGCCCAUUACAGUACAAAAUCAUGCUCAUGGAGAGCACAUGAAUGUUUGGAGCAGACACAGCAGCAGCCAGAUUGUCCCACACAUCUUCUCCCACUCUUGCUUCAAGGUUGUGGGAUUCAUCAUGGUCUUCCUCAUCCCCUGGAUCAACGAUGUCCCCAUUGAGAAGAGCAGCAAUGAGGGACAUGAUGGACGGCAAAGACAGGCGAAGGUGUUCAUGGUGGUCAGCUGUUUCAUCAAAAUAAAUUAUAUAAUCAUUUCAUUAAUUCAUGCAUUAAUUCAUUGCUUGACUGUAAAUUGAGAUGUUUUCCCCUUGGCUGCAUUUGUCUAGUGUGUGUUCAUGCAUAGCUGUGACAAAUGACAAAACAAAUUGCAUUUUGCUUGUUUUACUAAAACAUAAUUUUCAGUAAAAAAGUAAUAUAAUUAAGUAUUGGUCAGAAUUUAUCAUUAUUAUUCUGUUGGGGUGUGCUAGCAAUGCAAUUCAUUCUGGGGUAAGUAGUGAUACUUACAUUUUUCGAGUAUAAAAUCAACAGUCUUCUCCAAAGAUGAGAUCUUCGAGCAGCUCUCCGACAUCUCCUCUGUGCAGACAUUACUAACACUGAGGAAAACCGCACUAGGUAGGGUUGUGGAGUUACUGGUGCUGUGAGGUGUUAGUGCACCUGUCACUCAUAUCUUUUUAUUGCAGAACUUAUAAUUGCAUACAAGAUCAGGGAAAAUACCAUGGUUGUAUCUUUAACAAUGAACAAUAAUAAUGACAACAACAACAACAAAAACAAAUAUCAUGGGUUUGAAUAUAUAUAUUUGAACAUAUAUUUGAAUAGUUCAUCAUAAUGCAUCAAAAAUUUAUUUAUUUUUAUUUUAUUUAUUUAUUUGUUAUUUAUAAGCCUGAGGGAUGAAACGAGAGUUAAAUUCAACAAGAAAAAAAGGAAAACAUAAAGGAGAUUUAAGCCACUUUUGCUUGUGGAUGAAAAUUUUUGCAUUUAAAAUAAAGAAAUUAACAACAUAUUCAAAAGAUCACAGUUUGGGUUUUCGUAAUAAAAAAUAAUAUCUUUAAAGAUAAAACUGUGCAUCAGAUUAGUAGAGUUAAAAAUAUAACAACUUAAAUUAACCAAAAUUAGAACAUAACAAUAAUUAGAGUAACACCAAUAGAAUAAUAAUAAAAAAAAACAUGAACAACCAAUACCAUAGUUCAAAGCAGAAAAAGAAAAAGGAAAGGGGAAAAAAGAAAAAAAACAGGGUCUUACACAAAUUAAUAAAAAUUACACAUUAAAUACAGUAAAGAAUUUGUAGGCCAUGCAAAUUGCACAUUUUGAGAGCUUUUUUUGUUAAGCGAGAGUGAAAUUGUAAGUAAAUAAUGUUUUACUUUUUAUCUACAAAAAUAGGUUUUUAAUUCAAAAAUUUACAUUUAUGAAUAUAAAAUCUACAUAGAAAGAGAAUUAGGUUUAUAAUAAAGCAAACAUUUGAAUCCGCUUAAAAAUAAAUAAAUAAAUAAAUAAAUAAAAAUAACAGAUUUAGGAUUCAUUAAAAAACCUUGUAAGGAUAGUACUUGAAAUAAAAUAACUAAAAUCUUUCCAGAGCUGAAAAGUAUAGUUGCACGACCAAAACAAAUGAAAAAGGUUUUCAGCAUCAUCUGACAAAAAGGAACAUUGAGUGUCAAAAUCACAUCCAAUUUUUUUCUCAAGAAAAUGACAGAGUAAAUAUUAUGGAGUAAUUUAAUAGUUAUUUCUUUUAUUUUGUUAGUGAGGAAAAAUCUUUGUUGAAUGGACCAUGUAUUUUUCUAAUUUAAAUUAUCAAAAAGGUUGUUCCAAUAUGAGACUGCAGGGGGGGCACAGACACUGUUCUCAAGAAAUAAAGUUCUUAUUUUAUAAUUACUUCCUUUUUUCCCCAUGAAACAUAUUUCACCAAUAGGUGUGUUGACAGGUUCAGGAAAGGGAACUGUUCCUAAAGAUAGAGUGAUAUUUUUGAAAAGAAUGCAUAUGCCAGAUGGAAUAGCAUCCAUAACAGCUGCAAACUCUUUAGGAGUUACAGGUAUAUUAUAUUCUAAAAGAAAUUCUGCAUACCUAAAAAGCAGACCAUCCUUGCUAAAGAGCUGACUAACAUGAAAUAUUCCGUUACUGAACCACUGAUUAUAGAACAAAGAUUUAUUCUUAAAUAAAAUAUUCCUAUUGUUCCAUAUGUAACACCGGUGGGGAGAAAAGUUAUGUUUGUAAAUAAGAGUCCGUGCCAGAAGAACCUUUUGGUGAAAGUUAGAGAGCUUGACAGGGAGUUUUUGGGUAUCAUAGUUACACAUUAAGACAAAUUUUGCAACACCAAAAAUGGUCUCCCCACCAUUCUUUCCAAGGCAUCAGAUUGAUAGAUUUUUUUAUCUAUGUAUGUAUAUAUAUAUAUGUAUAUAUAUAUAUAAUAUAUAUAUAUAUUUUCAAUUUUUGCGUUAUACUUACUUAAACUUACUUCCCCCUAUUUGUUGUAAUUUGUCUUUUUAUCUUUUUCCUUUUUGAUAUUGAUCCUUGAUACAACACUGUAUGUUAUGGUUCUUUGAAUUAAAAAAAAAUAACCCUUCCUCUCUAGCAGUAUUCCUUGUGCCAUUUACCGUUGCCCAUUUAAGAUGAUGUGAAUGAAAAUGAGGCUGUGAGAGAUAAUUUUAGUUUUUAUCAUUAGUUCAAUAAAAUCCCACUUAAGUGUAAAAAAAAAAAAAAAAAGAA
Ctenopharyngodon idella (grass carp) is the source of this 3466-nucleotide long non-coding RNA. RefSeq lists it as uncharacterized. The record is from RefSeq and is a predicted model, not a curated record. Lineage: Eukaryota; Metazoa; Chordata; Actinopteri; Cypriniformes; Xenocyprididae. The transcript has 3 exons.